This 253-nucleotide ribosomal RNA is filed under the name uncultured bacterium. RNAcentral describes it as "partial 16S ribosomal RNA". It matches the Rfam family "Bacterial small subunit ribosomal RNA", at positions 524 to 776 of the family's 1533-position model. The record is from RNAcentral.
UACAGAGGGUGCGAGCGUUGUUCGGAAUUAUUGGGCGUAAAGCGCGUGUAGGCGGGAUGGCAAGUCGGGUGUGAAAGCCCUCAGCUCAACUGAGGAAGUGCGCCCGAAACUACUGUUCUUGAGUAUCGGAGAGGGUGGCGGAAUUCCCGGUGUAGAGGUGAAAUUCGUAGAUAUCGGGAGGAACACCAGUGGCGAAGGCGGCCACCUGGCCGAAUACUGACGCUGAGACGCGAAAGCGUGGGGAGCAAACAGG